Molecule: long non-coding RNA, 455 nt
Filed under: Salmo salar (Atlantic salmon)
Lineage: Eukaryota; Metazoa; Chordata; Actinopteri; Salmoniformes; Salmonidae
Description: lncRNA (ENSSSAG00000086507.1)
Source: RNAcentral
UUAGUCCCGAUGCUGGAUGCCAGGAUUAGGUGUAACAUGUAUUAGACAGAUGCUGGAUGCCAGGAUUAGGUAUAACAUGUAUUAGACAGAUGCUGGAUGCUAGGAUUAGGUAUAACAUGUAUUAGACAGAUGCUGGAUGCCAGGAUUAGGUAUAACAUGUAUUAGACAGAUGCUGGAUGCCAGGAUUAGGUAUAAAAUGUAUUAGACUGAUGCUGGAUGCCAGGAUUCGUUUUUUACAAAUAACAUAAAAGUAUGCAAUUUUUCUGCAUCCUUGUAUCUAACUCUGCGAUAUAAUUAACCAAAAUCUACGCCCGCCUUUCCUGCGUUGCGUGACAUUCGCAGCCUACCCCACCAAUAAUUCUGCAUGUAUAAUACAGCGAAACAGUGAUUCUUUCUGUGUAUUUAGUAACACAAUGACUGCUGCCCCACCACAACACAUCAGCUUUAGGCAACAG